GGCGCUGUGGCUUUGUUGGUUAAAGUGCCUGUCUAGUAAACAGGAGAUCCUGGGUUCAAAUUUCAGCGGUGCCU
This 74-nucleotide transfer RNA is filed under the name Danionella translucida. It matches the Rfam family "tRNA". Rfam says of the family: Transfer RNA (tRNA) molecules are approximately 80 nucleotides in length. Lineage: Eukaryota; Metazoa; Chordata; Actinopteri; Cypriniformes; Danionidae. RNAcentral also lists the same sequence under 1 other name. The record is from Rfam by way of RNAcentral.